CGGGGUAUAGUAUAUCGGCAGUACGCGUGCAUGGGGUGCACGUAGGAGCGGUUCGAUUCCGCUUACCCCGA
RNAcentral lists this transfer RNA (71 nucleotides) under Candidatus Moraniibacteriota bacterium. RNAcentral describes it as "tRNA-Pro". It matches the Rfam family "tRNA". Rfam says of the family: Transfer RNA (tRNA) molecules are approximately 80 nucleotides in length. Their secondary structure includes four short double-helical elements and three loops (D, anti-codon, and T loops). Lineage: Bacteria; Candidatus Moraniibacteriota. The record is from RNAcentral.